RNAcentral lists this long non-coding RNA (229 nucleotides) under Lathyrus oleraceus (garden pea). Its description in RNAcentral is "Pisum sativum (pea) long non-coding RNA (PSAT_LNC028308)". The record is from RNAcentral. Lineage: Eukaryota; Viridiplantae; Streptophyta; Magnoliopsida; Fabales; Fabaceae.
UUGAUUAACUUUCCAGGAUCGUCGUCGUAAUCCUUCACUGUCUUUUCACCGUUCAACUAUCCCUUGCCCCUGAUUUGGCUCUGCCGGGAUUGUUAGAUAAAAGAACGUGCCCCAGGUAUGCCCCAUGAUAAGGCUCAAACAUCACUAUACUGGGGAUGCCCCACGAUAGGGCUAAUAGGGACUUGGAGGGAGAAUCUGUACUGCCGGGAACGUGAAGAUGAACAACUUC